AUGAGAAAGUGUCUGAGGGUGUAGCAGGCGUGAACUUUGGUGCUCUUAAGGGUCACCACAAUGUUGCCGUACUGCUCGCUGUUCUCCGUCGGCCAGUACUGGUCACACUUCCUCUGUCAAGGACAACAGCACCCCCUUUAGAUUCCUCGCAGCAUGACAGCAGAAACAGAGAAGUCCUGCUGAACCCACUCGUCCUUUCUCCACCAGGUUUGUGAUCAUCACGAUGAUUCUGGUGUUCUGCUCCCACACCAUCCUCCAAAAGUCUUCGAACGUGGACUUGAGAGGACCCUGAGCUGCGAUGUAGGCUCUCGGACGGUUGUAACCCUGAGAAGGAGAACGCAGACAUUUACACGGAUUUCCUGAGGGAAUCGCAGCCCAAACAUCUUAGAGAAUGAGAACACAAAACAGAGUCCCACGGCACCUCAGCCAUCCCCACACAUCACGUCUAAGAACAAAUACAUAUAAAAAAUAAAUAAAUGAACAAAACAUGAAGUCAUAAUAAAUAAGGAAAACAAAAGCAUACAUUUAUACAUUUCUGCUCUCAAGUGUGAGACUAGCAGAGAGAUUUGAGAUGUUGUCAAACGAGUCGCAAUUGCUUAUAAAAUACGUUGACACUUUUCAGAUUCAGAGAAAUGAUUUUAGAAAAGUCAUCAGUUUAGAAAUUUCUGUGAGAACUCCAGUCCUGACAGAUGACCACACAAGCAAACAUGGCUGCCACACACACAAACAACACAAUGACAAUAUAGUUACAAGGCAUUAACUCACAAACCUGCUAUAACAAACCUGUUAUUAUUAUUAUUAUUAUUAUUAUUAAUGAUAAUAAUAAUGUCCGCCUUCAUGGUUGAGCAAGUGUAAACAUUCCUCACAGUUUUGCCUGUAAAGCACCUUGUGAACAGCGCUCGGAAACAUAAUGUUAUUAUAUUAUUAUUAUCGCUGAGCUUCUUUUAUACCUCUGUAGCACGACGUUAGCAAAACAUUCUGGUUGAGAAACUCACAUCCACGUAGUUGGCGUUGAUAUAGUCUGAAUGUUUGGCGUCUUUUCCUGCCAGAGCUCGGAGCUUCACUCUGCUGUGGUCGUCUGGAUAAAACAAAUGUUCUUGAGUAAGAACAAGCCCCGGUUUGUCGUAGCGGACAUCCCGACAAACUUACAAGCCAUGAUGUUGAUGUAUCUGUUCUUGUGCUUGUUGUCAGGGUGGUUGGAAUGAUCCGCAGUGAUCUUCAGGUCGGCUGUGGAACGCUGGACUUCCUGGAGACGGGGAUGGAUUUUGGUCAGACAUUCUAGGCUUCACAUUCCUGUCAGUAAAUCCCAACACAAGGUUAACUGAACCUCAAACUCCUCAGAGAAGCCUUGCAGGUUGUUCUUGUACAGCUCCAUGAUGUGUUUCACAAACUGCUUGACAGGAAUGGCCUCCAUGUCGUCUGUCAAAGACACAAGAAUCACACAAUCGAAAAACAUCACCACUGCAUUUCACUGCACAGCAGCCUUAGGAUUUAAGCGGGAGAAAACACACGCACACACGGGUCUGGUCACCAAGACAGGACAAUAGAUCUGGGACUCAGCUGUCUGAGCAUGAAACCAAUGUCUCAACUCAUUCACCAGAGCAGCUGCGGCCUUGGCUUCUCCUGCUUCAGCGAUCGCAGCGCCGAGCUGAGAACUGCUCUGUAAAUGUUGUUAUUUACCGGGAUGUUUACUUCCUCUCUGCUCUGGGGAAAUGCUCAUUCAAAAAGUGCUUGAGAGGACUGUAAAAUCUUCUCAUGAAUUGAUUGCUCCUGAAUGGUUUAACUAUGUAUACGUGGAGGAAUUGGUAUCAUUUCAACAAGAAUGAUAAACCGAUUUCAAAAUAUACCACCAAUGCUAUACUGUGUGUUGCUCUCAGACUGUGGGAAGAAACCAGAGUCCCCAGAGACAAACAAAAAGCAAAGCUGUAGAAAUCAUGUACACAAUCAAGACAAAAAAAAGAAUAAAAAUACAACUACUGCUCCUCCUACUACUACUACUAAUAAUAGUAAUGGAUGAAACGAUCGACUGCACUUUCAAUGAAGCCAGGCUUUAGCUCAUUGCUAACAUACUUAAUAUAAGGCUAAACAUUCAUCAUUCACAUCAUCCAAUUUACUCCUCAAAUGUUCAGGUUAUCUACAGUUUAAUGUAUUGAAAUCUGGGCAAAGGUACUUGAACUUAAUAUGGGAAGUAUAAACAAUAAUUCCCUGAUAUGGUUUUAUGUGUUUCAUACCAUGUUUCUCUCAACAUUAUGUCACUCACGCACAACAGCUAUUUGCGAUGUUAAAUAUCAAAACAUCAGUGUAUGGUUUAAAGUACUCUGCUACAAUUUAACACAUUCGAAACAUCAGCUUUAAACAGACUAUACUUGAUGUAAAGUAAACAAAACGAAAACGUGCAAGUAAAGAACUUUUUGGAAACAAAAUGAUGAUUGUACAGGCCCAUAUUAGCAUUUUACACACCUCCAUCCCCAGAACAUACACACUAUAAAACGCCAGCUUCAUCGGCAGUCUCUGUUGUGUUUACAGUGAUUUGUGACUCCAGUUUCUGCCUGGUCCAUCCCAAAGUCAACAUGAAACAAUGUGCUGCAGCAAAGCUCAGCAUUUAUGGAAGUAAAGAGCGCCACUCACCUGGAAUGGGGAUGAAGGGAAUGCUCUCACUGGCCACCACCCUGGGAGAGCUGCUCUCCUCCACGUAGAAGUGAGCCGUCUGGAAGAAUCUUCUGCAGGGACACAUGAAGAGCGGCCUCUCCACACGCACAGCAACACUAAAGAGCCACCAAGCUGGUCAGUCCUCACCUGCCUUUGAUGCAGAGCAGCGAGCAGAUCAUUGUCAUGCUGUCACACGGAACGCACCAAGAAAAACUGCAUUUCAAAUUUGAAGGUGAGAAAGGCAGGAGGAGGGGCAGUGAAUGGCCCCCUCCAGACCUGCGUCAUUGUCUCCAAGCACCAAUCAAACCCCAAGAGAGACCACAUGCUUUGUUGAUGCUUGGUUGAUGGGUCACAGCUACUCUUUGAGAAUGUGAAGCAGAUUCUUGUUAACACGCCACGUCUGAGGUGAAACUGCAUUGAUUUCCACUCUUGACGUGUGAAAUCUGUGUUUCUGAGACUUGUGCUUGUUAGCUUCACAGGCUAGCAAAAGAAAACAAAGGGGAAAAAAGCUGUUUUCUUUUCUUUGUUUUAUAAAAUAAAACACUUUAGAUGAGCAUAUUAGCUGUUAAUAUGCUAUUUACUUUCCAAUUUACUGAAAAUCGCAUCAGAAUGAUGCUGUUGACUGGAGUGAUUUUUGGUGACUAUUCCAGGGUUAAAUCGGUCUUGACACACAUCAGUACUUUAUGAUGAAUUACCUGCUAAUGUGCUGAGAAUAUACUUGAAUAAAUAAGUAGUUUAUCUAUUGGGAUAUAUGUUGAAAAAUAAUUUGACCAAGAUAAGCACAAUGUUUUACAUUUUAUUUUGCAAAUGACGGCUAAUGUGGAGGAAGUUAGUUUAACUGCGAAACAUUUGGAAAUUCAAAAAUGUCUCCUUCAAAACCUUGUUCUCAUUGAGUUGUAAAAAUAAUAUUUAUGGAGUUGGUUCGAGGUCUUUGGCAAUCAUAAUGCAUGUGACAAAUCCUCCCUUCUUGCAAGCGCAGUCACAGAGGGACUCUGAGCUCAACACAGCCAGCGAGAGCUGGUUGGUUACACUGACAUCACGGUUUCACCCCGCGGGAGCAAAGACGGUCCGGAAAUUGUCGCCACAACAACAGCUGGGAUAAUCGCAUCCGCUGGCCUGCUGCUCGAAUUCCAAAAGUCUCUGUGAGUCCCGCACCUUCUGAAUCGGUAAGCAUCAUCCAGAGUUCAGCUGAGGGGAGAAAGUCUCACGGGAGGAAGACUUUCCUUUUGUUUAGCCUGGAAGUCAUCAGAGUGGAGCUGUUUUCACAGGUUUGCAUGACCAUGUCUUUACAUGAUGGUCACUUCAGAAUAAGAAGGAUUACAGCACAUCAACAUUUGAGGUCUUCUGAUUCAGGUGUUCCUCCUUCCUAAGUAGUUCCCACAGACAUUUGGUCAAAGUGGUGACUGUGGUGGUAUUUAUGUAUUUAUAAAGAGUAUAAUUCACUCUAUAUAAAUAUACAAAGCAGUUGAUGUGCAAUAACAGGGUGCCAGAACAGGUUCUGACAGCAAUAUUUUGGGGGCUAAAUUGUUACCUGUGUUGUCACAGACCUCCUGGCUUUUCGCCCACAUUUCCCAUUUGUCUGGCCUUUCUAGCCGAGUGACUUAAGAAUGCGAAAUGGCACUGUGGAGUGAUCAGCUACGUGAAUCCAGCGACCAGUCCUUGGUCUACAUUUGUCAAUAGUUGGUGUUUGAAAAUCAAAGCUUGUCACGAGUAUUAAACUUGUGUGUUUGAUCGGCUGUUCUGUUGAGCAGGAGACGGCUUGAGCUCAGCUUCCCAACUGUUUACCAGGAAACCAAUAUGAUGCCACCAUAAUGUGUGGAAAAAUUCAUUCUAGGAAGAAAUAUUCAUAUUUAAUAUUGUCACAAAAUAAAUGCCAAUAUUUCCCCCCAGCACCUAUUAUCACUAUUAUUGUUUUAUUGUAGUACUGAAGUAGUAUUUUACACUCAGUUUAUUCCUGACAAAAAAGCAAACAAACGUGAAAUCAAUAACCCUGUAGGUGUCCAACGCCGUACAUGAGAUGGAAAUCCAUGAGGAACAGUAUCUAUGGAACCAACUGAGGAAACUCUGUGAAAUGUGUAGCUCAUUAAGCAGCGCCCCCUGUGCCAGUGGCCUGUGCUGUGUAAUUACCAGGGAGUCCGAUGGCAGGGCUGGAAAUGAGCCCAGCAGAAGACACAGCUGGGACUCCCACCAGGCCUGUGGGGAGUCUCCAUCCUCUCGCCAGAACUGUGAUGUGUCACGUGACGCCCCAAACGGCUGUUUACACAAACAGGAAAAUCCAGACACGCAGGGUGGCGUGUGGACCAGGGAGGACACGGUUCCCCUGGGAGUCCAAGGCUGUCUGCUUCAUCCAGGAGGGUCAGUCAAUCUGUUUCCCCCCCAUUACUGCGAAGCUCUUCAUCCAAUAAAGAGAAGAGGCGGAGCCAGCAACCUUGACAUGAAAGGUGGAAACUUCCUCUUCCUCACCUCCAGUAGACCAUCACAAUGAGCAGCAUGAUGAGGCAGAGCAGCGUGAGAGCAGACACGACCACCAGGGGGACGAUCCAAACCAUCCUGCCCAUCGCAGCAUGAGGGGUCCGGGUCACGUUGGACAAAGUGGUGCGGUCUGAAACAUCACACGCCCAUUACAACAAGACAGCCAAACUCAUUUGACAAUUCAACCCGAGCGCUUUACGUGUGGCUGGUUCUAGCCUUCAGUCAGCGCCACCUGGUGGCGGACUCUAGCUUCACACUGGGAAAUCCCACUUUGAUAGAUGGGACAAGGUUUCAGCCAUUCUUUACCUGCCUGCUUCCAUUUGUUUUAUCCUUUGGAUCGUCUCUAAAUGUGUUUAUAAAUA
This is a long non-coding RNA of Synchiropus splendidus (mandarinfish), 5483 nucleotides long. RefSeq lists it as uncharacterized. The record is from RefSeq and is a predicted model, not a curated record. The transcript is spliced from 3 exons. NCBI's taxonomy places the organism in Eukaryota, Metazoa, Chordata, Actinopteri, Syngnathiformes, Callionymidae.